This 399-nucleotide ribosomal RNA is filed under the name uncultured bacterium. RNAcentral's name for it is "bacterial SSU rRNA". It matches the Rfam family "Bacterial small subunit ribosomal RNA", at positions 976 to 1380 of the family's 1533-position model. The record is from RNAcentral.
AAGUCUUGACAUCCCGGUGACCGCCCUAGAGAUAGGGCUUCCCUUCGGGGCAACGGUGACAGGUGGUGCAUGGUUGUCGUCAGCUCGUGUCGUGAGAUGUUGGGUUAAGUCCCGCAACGAGCGCAACCCUUACGGUUAGUUGCUACGCAAGAGCACUCUAGCCGGACUGCCGUUGACAAAACGGAGGAAGGUGGGGACGACGUCAAAUCAUCAUGCCCCUUAUGACUUGGGCUACACACGUACUACAAUGGCAGUCAUACAGAGGGAAGCAAAACCGCGAGGUGGAGCAAAUCCCUAAAAGCUGUCCCAGUUCAGAUUGCAGGCUGCAACCCGCCUGCAUGAAGUCGGAAUUGCUAGUAAUCGCGGAUCAGCAUGCCGCGGUCAAUACGUUCCCGGGCC